GGCUAUGGCGUGUGCUCGGUGGGGCUGGAGCGGCUUGCUUACCUCCUCAUGGCUUACAGCCUGGGCGCCUCAGUCGCCUCACUCCUGGGCCUGCUGGGCUUGUGGCUGCCACGCCCGGUGCCCCUCGUGGCUGGAGCAGGGGUGCACCUGCUGCUCACCUUCAUCCCCUUUUUCUGGGCCCCUGUGCCUCGGGUCCUUCAACACAGCUGGAUCCUCUGUGUGGCAGCCACCCUUUGGGGUGUGGGCAGCACCCUGAACAAGACUGGACUCAGCACUCCUGGGAGUCUUGUACGAAGACAAGGAGAGACAGGACUUCAUCUUCACCAUCUACCACUGGUGGCAGGCUGUGGCCAUCUUCACUGUGUACCUGGGCUCGAGCCUGCACAUGAGCUAAGCUGGCGGUGCUGCUGGUGACGCUGGUGGCGGCCGCGGUCUCCUACCUGCGGAUGGAGCAGAAGCUGCGGCGGGGCGUGCGCCAGCCCCGCAUCCCGUGGCCCCAGCACAAGGUGCGCAGUUACCGCUACUUGGAGGAGGACAACUCGGACGAGAGCGACGCGGAGGGCGAGCAUGGGGACGGCGCGGAGGAGGAGGCGCCGCCCGCGGGGACCAGGCCUGGUCCCGAGCAGGCUGGACUCGGCCGCCGGCCCUGCCCGUAGGAACAGGCGCAGGGGGGCGACUGGCCAGAGGAGC
RNAcentral lists this long non-coding RNA (690 nucleotides) under Homo sapiens (human). Its description in RNAcentral is "non-protein coding lnc-KRTAP5-10-2:1". Lineage: Eukaryota; Metazoa; Chordata; Mammalia; Primates; Hominidae. The record is from RNAcentral.